ACGCUCGACACCUACGGGGGGCAGCAGUGGGGAAUAUUGCACAAUGGGGGAAACCCUGAUGCAGCGACGCCGCGUGAAGGAAGAAGUAUUUCGGUAUGUAAACUUCUAUCAGCAGGGAAGAAACUGACGGUACCUGACUAAGAAGCACCGGCUAAAUACGUGCCGNNNGNNGGAGUAUNGNGGCGGNGNGAGAG
Molecule: ribosomal RNA, 194 nt
Filed under: uncultured bacterium
Lineage: Bacteria
Description: partial 16S ribosomal RNA
Rfam family: Bacterial small subunit ribosomal RNA
Source: RNAcentral